This 253-nucleotide ribosomal RNA is filed under the name uncultured bacterium. Its description in RNAcentral is "partial 16S ribosomal RNA". It matches the Rfam family "Bacterial small subunit ribosomal RNA", at positions 524 to 776 of the family's 1533-position model. The record is from RNAcentral.
UACGUAGGGUGCGAGCGUUGUCCGGAAUUAUUGGGCGUAAAGGGCUCGUAGGCGGUUUGUCGCGUCGGGAGUGAAAACACUGGGCUUAACUCAGUGCUUGCUUCCGAUACGGGCAGACUAGAGGUAUGCAGGGGAGAACGGAAUUCCUGGUGUAGCGGUGAAAUGCGCAGAUAUCAGGAGGAACACCGGUGGCGAAGGCGGGUCUCUGGGCCGAAACUGACGCUGAGGAGCGAAAGCGUGGGGAGCAAACAGG